This 218-nucleotide ribosomal RNA is filed under the name Septoglomus sp. Its description in RNAcentral is "partial small subunit ribosomal RNA". The stretch from base 47 to 218 matches the Rfam family "Eukaryotic small subunit ribosomal RNA", at positions 693 to 866 of the family's 1831-position model. The record is from RNAcentral. Lineage: Eukaryota; Fungi; Glomeromycota; Glomeromycetes; Glomerales; Glomeraceae.
GGAUCAAUGGAUUGGUCAUGCCGAUGGUAUGUACUGGUCAUAUUGGUUCUCACCUUCUAAGGAACCAUAAUGUCAUUAAUUUGAUGUUUUGGGGAAUUAGGACUGUUACCUUGAAAAAAUUAGAGUGUUUAAAGCAGGCUAACGCUUGAAUACAUUAGCAUGGAAUAAUGAAAUAGGACAUCGCAUUCUAUUUUGUUGGUUUCUAGGAUCGAUGUAAU